UGGGGAAUAUUGCACAAUGGGCGAAAGCCUGAUGCAGCAACGCCGCGUGAGCGAUGAAGGCCUUUGGGUCGUAAAGCUCUGUCCUUGGGGAAGAAAAAAAUGACGGUACCCUUGGAGGAAGCCCCGGCUAACUACGUGCCAGCAGCCGCGGUAAUACGUAGGGGGCAAGCGUUAUCCGGAAUUAUUUGGCGUAAAGAGUGCGUAGGUGGUUUUGUAAGCGCGGGGUGAAAGGCAAUGGCUCAACUAUUGUAAGCCCUGCGAACUGUGAGACUUGAGUGCAGGAGAGGAAAGCGGAAUUCCUAGUGUAGCGGUGAAAUGCGUAGAUAUUAGGAGGAACACCAGUGGCGAAGGCGGCUUUCUGGACUGUAACUGACACUGAGGCACGAAAGCGUGGGGAUCAAACA
RNAcentral lists this ribosomal RNA (404 nucleotides) under uncultured bacterium. RNAcentral describes it as "bacterial SSU rRNA". It matches the Rfam family "Bacterial small subunit ribosomal RNA", at positions 355 to 774 of the family's 1533-position model. The record is from RNAcentral.